GCCAUCGUGGUGUAAUGGUCAGCACACUCGGCGCGUAUUCGAGAAGUCCGAGGUUCAAGUCCCGGCGAGGGCA
RNAcentral lists this transfer RNA (73 nucleotides) under Stegodyphus mimosarum. It matches the Rfam family "tRNA". From Rfam's summary of the family: Transfer RNA (tRNA) molecules are approximately 80 nucleotides in length. Their secondary structure includes four short double-helical elements and three loops (D, anti-codon, and T loops). Lineage: Eukaryota; Metazoa; Arthropoda; Arachnida; Araneae; Eresidae. The record is from Rfam by way of RNAcentral.